CGGGCUUCCAGAUCUGUCCCUUGUUGUUUAAAACUGGAUGAGAUGACAAUGCAAAAAAAUGGAAGUAACAAGAAGCAUCAUACUUUUCUUCUCCUCAGCAGUGUUGAGAAAAAACUGUGGAUCCUGGAAUUUUACUGUGGAUUUUACUGGUUUUCUGGAGUACUUUCCCAUUGAAACAGCGAUUGCCUUCUGUCCAGGGAGAGUCAACGCAGGAGGAGCCGAUGUGCCCGCGUUCAGAGUUACAGACUUUCUGAUAGCACCCGUGAAGAAAAAAAGUAUGUCCCGUGGUGGUAAUGCAUGCGUGUUAAAUGUCUUCAUUGUAGAGUGUUCUUCAGUACCUUAUAUCAUGGUUUAAAAAAAAAAUAUAUAUAUAUUCAAAAUACCAUUUGGAAUGUCAACAUUCAGUGGGCUUUGAGGAGAUGUAGCAGCACAUCAUGGUUUGUAGGGACAAGGAGAUACAGACCAUUCUGGGCUGCCUCAUUACCUCAAGGAUAAGACAAGAAAGUGAGCUUCUGGUUAUCAUAGAUGUGGAAGCUAACACAUUCCCAUGUAUCUCUUUAGUUCAGUUGAACAGGUAUGUGUAGAUAAGUUCUCCUGGCGCUUGUGUCCGUGCACAUCCUUUGCAGCUACAAAUACAUUCCCUAUGAGUCUGUGUGUGUGCGUGUGUCUCAGCAGGGCUGGCCCUGCAGGCAGGAAGGACUCGUAGCUCCUUUUUGUUCUCCACCAUGGGCAUGGUGGCCCAUGUUGGCUGGAGCGCUGUGCCUUCAGCUGGCGCCUUACCCCCGCACCUAUUGCUCUUCGGUCCUUUCCCUGGCAAAGGGUCAGCCGAGG
This is a long non-coding RNA of Haliaeetus leucocephalus (bald eagle), 831 nucleotides long. RefSeq lists it as uncharacterized. The transcript has 3 exons. The record is from RefSeq and is a predicted model, not a curated record. Lineage: Eukaryota; Metazoa; Chordata; Aves; Accipitriformes; Accipitridae.